RNAcentral lists this ribosomal RNA (450 nucleotides) under uncultured bacterium. Its description in RNAcentral is "partial 16S ribosomal RNA". It matches the Rfam family "Bacterial small subunit ribosomal RNA", at positions 354 to 796 of the family's 1533-position model. The record is from RNAcentral.
GUCGAGAAUAAUUCACAAUGGACGAAAGUCUGAUGGUGCAACGCCGCGUGGAGGAUGACGGUCUUCGGAUUGUAAACUCCUGUCAUCCGGGAGUAAGACCUGGCUGUGAAUAGCAGACAGGGUUGAUAGUACCGGAAGAGGAAGGGACGGCUAACUUCGUGCCAGCAGCCGCGGUAAUACGAAGGUCCCGAGCGUUGUUCGGAAUCACUGGGCGUAAAGGGAGCGUAGGCGGCGUGGUAAGUCAGAUGUGAAAACCCGGGGCUCAAACCCGGAAAUGCAUCCGAUACUGCCGUGCUAGAGGAUUGGAGAGGUAGCUGGAAUUCUUGGUGUAGCAGUGAAAUGCGUGGAGAUCAAGAGGAACACUCGUGGCGAAAGCGAGCUACUGGACAAUAUCUGACGCUGAGGCUCGAAGGCCAGGGUAGCGAAAGGGAUUAGAUACCCUGGUAGUCC